UCCGUUGAAAGAACUAACAAGGAUUCCCCUAGUAACUGCGAGUGAAGCGGGAAAAGCUCAAAUUUAAAAUCUGGCGGUCUUCGGCCGUCCGAGUUGUAGUCUGGAGAAGCGUCUUCCGCGUCGGACCGUGUACAAGUCUCUUGGAACAGAGCGUCAUAGAGGGUGAGAAUCCCGUCUUUGACACGGACUACCGAUGCUUUGUGAUGCGCUCUCAAAGAGUCGAGUUGUUUGGGAAUGCAGCUCAAAAUGGGUGGUAAAUUCCAUCUAAAGCUAAAUAUUGGCGAGAGACCGAUAGCGAACAAGUACCGUGAGGGAAAGAUGAAAAGCACUUUGGAAAGAGAGUUAAACAGUACGUGAAAUUGCUGAAAGGGAAACGAUUGAAGUCAGUCGCGUCGUUCAGAACUCAACCUUGCCUUCGGGCUCGGUGCACUUUCUGUUUGACGGGCCAGCAUCAGUUUUGACUGUCGGAAAAAGGUCUUCGGAAUGUGGCACCUCCGGGUGUGUUAUAGCCGUUGGUCGUAUACGACGGUUGGGACUGAGGACCGCAGCACGCCUUUUGCCGGGGUUCGCCCACGUACGUGCUUAGGAUGCUGGCGUAAUGGCUUUAAACGACCCGUCUUGAAACACGGACCAAGGAGUCUAACAUGCAUGCGAGUGUUUGGGUGGAAAACCCGAGCGCGUAAUGAAAGUGAAAGUUGGGAUCCCUGUCGUGGGGAGCACCGACGCCCAUACCAGACCUUCUGUGACGGAUAUGCGGUAGAGCAUGUAUGUUGGGACCCGAAAGAUGGUGAACUAUGCCUGAAUAGGGUGAAGCCAGAGGAAACUCUGGUGGAGGCUCGUAGCGAUUCUGACGUGCAAAUCGAUCGUCAAAUUUGGGUAUAGGGGCGAAAGACUAAUCGAACCAUC
RNAcentral lists this ribosomal RNA (906 nucleotides) under Phlebia tremellosa. Its description in RNAcentral is "eukaryotic LSU rRNA". It matches the Rfam family "Eukaryotic large subunit ribosomal RNA", at positions 50 to 944 of the family's 3401-position model. The record is from RNAcentral. Lineage: Eukaryota; Fungi; Basidiomycota; Agaricomycetes; Polyporales; Meruliaceae.